CCUACGGGCGGCAGCAGUGAGGAAUAUUGGUCAAUGGCCGAGAGGCUGAACCAGCCAAGUCGCGUGAGGGAAGACGGCCCUACGGGUUGGAAACCUCUUUUGUCGGGGAGCAAAGCGAGGCACGGGUGAAUCAUUGAGAGUACCCGAAGAAAAAGCAUGGGCUAACGCCGAGCAAGCAGCGGCGGGAAUACGGAGGAUGCGAGGGUAAACCGGUUUUAUUGGGGUUAAAGGGUGCGCUGGCGGAGGUGCAGGUCAGCGGUCAAAUUGCGGGGCUCAACCCCUUACUGCCGUUGAAACUGCAUCCCUUGAGUGCGCGAGAAGUAUGCGGAAUGCGUGGUGUAGCGGUGAAAUGCAUAGAUAUCACGCAGAACUCCGAUUGCGAAGGCAGCAUCCCGGCGCGCAACUGACGCUCAUGCACGAAAGCGUGGGUAUCGAACAGGAUUAGAUACCCCUGUAGUC
Molecule: ribosomal RNA, 459 nt
Filed under: uncultured bacterium
Lineage: Bacteria
Description: partial 16S ribosomal RNA
Rfam family: Bacterial small subunit ribosomal RNA
Source: RNAcentral